This is a long non-coding RNA of Pyrus x bretschneideri (Chinese white pear), 1685 nucleotides long. RefSeq lists it as uncharacterized. The record is from RefSeq and is a predicted model, not a curated record. The transcript has 2 exons. NCBI's taxonomy places the organism in Eukaryota, Viridiplantae, Streptophyta, Magnoliopsida, Rosales, Rosaceae.
AGAGAGAAAGAGAGAGAGAGAUUCGGUGAAGGGAAGGCAUGCGGCUUGCAAAGAAGAGGGAGGGAGGGAGGGUGGAGAAGACGAAAAGCAACUGCAGCAAGUUCAUGGACAUGGUCGCAGCAAUGAAGACCCCUCAACAGCAGAUUCAAGUCAAUCUGGGUAAAGUCAUAGCCUUCAACCCUCAUCAAAGCUUCCCUUUCAGCCCCUUCUUCAGGUUAUUUUUUACUUAUAUUAUUCAAUUUAUCUUUUCUUUUUUUCUUGUUUGAAUUCAGCUUCUAGGAUUGUGAAAUUCUUCGAUUCCAAGUUUGAAUUCUUCAAUUUUGAUUUAUUGCGGCAAUUUUUAUUUUCUAUUGGGUCUAAGACUUGGAAACUCAAUGUCUUUGUGAUAUUAGAUUAAAAUAGUUAAACUAUAUUUUCUUUUGGUGGGCAUGUCUAAAUUUCUGUAUUUAUGUUGUAGAGAUGUCUUAUCUGGUGAAGUGUUCAAAAUCCUUCUGCUAACUGAUUUAAUAGGUUGAAUCUGUAUCCAAUGAAUUCCUUCCAAUAUAGGUCUGAACUAUUUUGUUUAAUUAACGAAAACAGGUCACUUUUCUCUAUGGUGGUCCCUUAGAGUUUUUGUUUAUCGUGGAAAGCACAGAAAACCCUGCUUAUCGGGUUGUAUCUAUGGUACUAUCAGAGCUUAAGGAUGAGGUUGAUGCUAAGAUUGUUGUGGCUGGUAUUUCAACAGCCUGCAGUCAAAAAAUUCACAACUGAUUGGUAUGUACCUGAUUAAAAUAAUUUACGCUUUGCUACCAUGCUAGUGCAAUAGCAAGGUCUUGCACAGUUGUAAGUGUUAUCUUAUCAAAUCAUUAUGUACCUAUAAUUGUUCUAUAUGAUGAGUUUCUUUUCUUUAUGGAAUAUAGGAAUAUAAAUUUAUUACUAAGUCUUAAUGUUGUAGGGUAUAUGUAAAUGAAUUCAAUUAGAACUCACUUUUUUGUUUUCUGUUUUGUAGCUGCCUUGGUCAUUAGUUGGUGAUCUCUUGUAUUGGAAUUUCUUGGUUUUUUGAGUUUCUGAAAAAAAAAAAAAAAAAAGUUAAUGCAUUUAUAUGUGUGAGUAUGCGUGCGCUCUUCACUGAUAUUCCAUUCUCAUUUCUGUUCUUCCUCAUUUAUAUGUAAAUGCUUUGUUGUAUCUUGUCAUCUGCCCAUUGGUCAUAAAUAUAGUAUCUAUACUUUCUUUAUCUUAUUCUUGAAUAGCCACGCUGAUUGGGAGAUCAUUUGUUGUUUCAAGGUUGAAGGUGGUCUGCAUAUUCAUGAACUUGUCAAUUUAAUAUGUUCUUAGUUGAAGUUGCAGAAGGGUUGCAGUGAAUUUGUGGAGAUUUUGUAUGGUAAAUUAUGACUGCAAACCCCUUGAAAAUCUACUUUUCCCUGGUAUUUAUAUGAUCAUAUCUCAGUGUUGUCCUCAACUCUAAUCACUUUCAGUUGGACUUAAGUUAACGUUAUUCUUACGAAAUUUGUGGGUUUGAUUUUGGGUGCAGGCUACAGCUGAUGAUCAGAUUCAAGUUAUUGAGAUGAUUAAGCUCUUGGAAACAAAGGGUUCGAAGACUUUUUAAAGUUUGGUUCCAACAUUUGUACAAAAUUCUAUAAAAUAUCAAUUAUGCAAAUUUAUAGUUGUAUUCUUAUAUUUUAAUGAUAUAACAAUUUGUUUUCUCA